RNAcentral lists this ribosomal RNA (253 nucleotides) under uncultured bacterium. RNAcentral's name for it is "partial 16S ribosomal RNA". It matches the Rfam family "Bacterial small subunit ribosomal RNA", at positions 524 to 776 of the family's 1533-position model. The record is from RNAcentral.
UACGUAGGGUGCGAGCGUUGUCCGGAAUUAUUGGGCGUAAAGAGCUCGUAGGCGGUUUGUCGCGUCGGCCGUGAAAACUGGAGGCUUAACCUCCAGCUUGCGGUCGAUACGGGCAGACUUGAGUUCGGUAGGGGAGACUGGAAUUCCUGGUGUAGCGGUGAAAUGCGCAGAUAUCAGGAGGAACACCGGUGGCGAAGGCGGGACUCUGGGCCGAUACUGGCGCUGAGGAGCGAAAGCGUGGGGAGCGAACAGG